UUUUUUUUUUCAAAAAAAAAAAAAAAAAACUUUAUUUCUUAUUUACCAACUAAUUUGCCCAGGCUGAAAGCUUUACACAAAUAGUAAAAUGCACACACCUUACAUACAUAAAACUAUUAGGGGUCCAUGUCCUGUUAACUAGACACACAGAACAUGCUCACCCCAGCCAAGUAUACUAAAGCUUAGGGCAUAUCAAAAUAAAUAAUUAGUCUCCAGUGUUUCCAAUUUUGGGGGGAGGCAGUUUAGCCAUAGCAUCUAAUUGGAUCAUUGCAGCUUUUCGCAGCAGAUUGCUUAAAUCCAAAACGACCCCCUUUGGCAAGGUAUUGUUGGUGGUAUUCUUCAGCUCGAUAAAACUUCUUGGCAGGUAAAAUCUCAGUGACUAUCUUUCGGUUCAAGAGCUUCUGCUGUUGUUCCAAAGUCUCUCGAGCUGCCUUUUCCUGCUCUUGGGUGUAAUAGUAUAUUCCGGAUCUAUAUUGUGUUCCCACAUCAUUUCCCUGGCG
This 500-nucleotide unclassified non-coding RNA is filed under the name Hevea brasiliensis (rubber tree). The record is from RNAcentral. Lineage: Eukaryota; Viridiplantae; Streptophyta; Magnoliopsida; Malpighiales; Euphorbiaceae.